GACUUUAUAGCCCCAUGGAUAAGGCGCUGGUCUACGAAAUCAGAGAUUCUGGGUUCGAUCCCAAGUGAAGUCG
This is a transfer RNA of Ipomoea nil (Japanese morning glory), 73 nucleotides long. It matches the Rfam family "tRNA". From Rfam's summary of the family: Transfer RNA (tRNA) molecules are approximately 80 nucleotides in length. Their secondary structure includes four short double-helical elements and three loops (D, anti-codon, and T loops). NCBI's taxonomy places the organism in Eukaryota, Viridiplantae, Streptophyta, Magnoliopsida, Solanales, Convolvulaceae. The record is from Rfam.